AACGAACGCUGGCGGCAUGCCUAACACAUGCAAGUCGAACGAGACCUUCGGGUCUAGUGGCGCACGGGUGCGUAACGCGUGGGAACCUGCCCUUAGGUUCGGAAUAACUCCCCGAAAGGGGUGCUAAUACCGGAUAAUGUCUUCGGACCAAAGAUUUAUCGCCUUUGGAUGGGCCCGCGUUGGCUUAGCUAGUUGGUAGGGUAAAAGCCUACCAAGGCGACGAUCCAUAGCUGGUCUGAGAGGAUGAUCAGCCACACUGGGACUGAGACACGGCCCCGACUCCUACGGGAGGCAGCAGUGGGGAAUAUUGGACAAUGGGCGCAAGCUUGAUCCAGCGAUACCGCGUGGGUGAAGAAGGCUUUCGGGUGGUAAAGACCGUUUGUUGGGAAAGAAAAGCAGCAGGUUAAUACCCCGCUGUUCUGACGGUACCCAAAGAAUAAGCACCGGCUAACUUCGUG
This 458-nucleotide ribosomal RNA is filed under the name uncultured bacterium. RNAcentral's name for it is "partial 16S ribosomal RNA". It matches the Rfam family "Bacterial small subunit ribosomal RNA", at positions 29 to 507 of the family's 1533-position model. The record is from RNAcentral.